Phrynosoma platyrhinos (Desert horned lizard) is the source of this 72-nucleotide non-coding RNA. Lineage: Eukaryota; Metazoa; Chordata; Lepidosauria; Squamata; Phrynosomatidae. The record is from the annotation of a GenBank genome assembly.
GCCUGUGUGGUGUAGUGCUUUGAGUGUUAGAUUAUGGCUCUGGAGACUAGGGUUCAAAUCCUCGCUCAGCCA